CUUUCCCUCUGGCGGUAUGCUUUACACAUGCAAGUCGAACGGCAGCGCGGGCUUCGGCCUGGCGGCGAGUGGCGAACGGGUGAGUAAUACAUCGGAACGUGCCCAGUAGUGGGGGAUAGCUCGGCGAAAGCCGGAUUAAUACCGCAUACGACCUGAGGGUGAAAGCGGGGGAUCUUCGGACCUCGCGCUUUUUGAGCGGCCGAUGGCAGAUUAGCUAGUUGGUGGGGUAAAGGCCUACCAAGGCGACGAUCUGUAGCUGGUCUGAGAGGACGACCAGCCACACUGGGACUGAGACACGGCCCAGACUCCUACGGGAGGCAGCAGUGGGGAAUUUUGGACAAUGGGCGAAAGCCUGAUCCAGCAAUGCCGCGUGUGUGAUGAAGGCCUUCGGGUUGUAAAGCACUUUUGGCGGGAACGAAAAGGACUGUGCCAAUACCACGGUUCGAUGACGGUACCCGCAGAAUAAGCACCGGCUAACUACGUG
This 484-nucleotide ribosomal RNA is filed under the name uncultured bacterium. Its description in RNAcentral is "partial 16S ribosomal RNA". It matches the Rfam family "Bacterial small subunit ribosomal RNA", at positions 36 to 507 of the family's 1533-position model. The record is from RNAcentral.